AGCAGCCGCGGUAAUUCCAGCUCCAAUAGCGUAUAUUAAAGUUGUUGCAGUUAAAAAGCUCGUAGUUGAAUUUCGGGAUUAGUACGCUGGUCAUGCCUUUGGUAUGUACUGGUGUUACUGAUUCCUACCUUCUGACGAACCGUUAUGUCAUUAAUUUGGUGUGGCGGGAAAUCAGGACUGUUACUUUGAAAAAAUUAGAGUGUUUAAAGCAGGCUCGCGCUUGAAUACAUUAGCAUGGAAUAAUGAAAUAGGACGUUUAAUCCUAUUUUGUUGGUUUCUAGGAUUGACGUAAUGAUUAAUAGGGAUAGUUGGGGGCAUUAGUAUUCAAUUGUCAGAGGUGAAAUUCUUGGAUUUAUUGAAGACUAACUACUGCGAAAGCAUUUGCCAAGGAUGUUUUCAUUAAUCAAGAACGAAAGUUAGGGGAUCGAAGACGAUCAGAUACCGUCGUAGUCUUAACCAUAAACUAUGCCGACUAGGGAUCGGAUGAUGUUAAUUUUUAAUGACUCAUUCGGCGCCUUAA
This 520-nucleotide ribosomal RNA is filed under the name uncultured Glomus. Its description in RNAcentral is "SSU rRNA". It matches the Rfam family "Eukaryotic small subunit ribosomal RNA", at positions 569 to 1091 of the family's 1831-position model. Lineage: Eukaryota; Fungi; Glomeromycota; Glomeromycetes; Glomerales; Glomeraceae. The record is from RNAcentral.